This 55-nucleotide transfer RNA is filed under the name Toxascaris leonina. Its description in RNAcentral is "tRNA-Arg". Lineage: Eukaryota; Metazoa; Nematoda; Chromadorea; Rhabditida; Ascarididae. The record is from RNAcentral.
GGAAUAAUAGAACGUGAAGUAGAUUUUACUAUGCCUGGCUACGGACUAGGAGGAU